UACGUAGGGUGCGAGCGUUAAUCGGAAUUACUGGGCGUAAAGCGUGCGCAGGCGGUUUUGUAAGCCAGAUGUGAAAUCCCCGGGCUUAACCUGGGAAUGGCAUUUGGGACUGCAAGGCUGGAGUGCGGCAGAGGAGACUGGAAUUCCUGGUGUAGCAGUGAAAUGCGUAGAUAUCAGGAGGAACACCGAUGGCGAAGGCAGGUCUCUGGGCUGACACUGACGCUCAUGCACGAAAGCGUGGGUAGCAAACAGG
RNAcentral lists this ribosomal RNA (253 nucleotides) under uncultured bacterium. RNAcentral's name for it is "partial 16S ribosomal RNA". It matches the Rfam family "Bacterial small subunit ribosomal RNA", at positions 524 to 776 of the family's 1533-position model. The record is from RNAcentral.